CAUCCCCCGUGUUGCGUAGACCCUUUAAUUCUUUGAGGUCACCACAAAGAGAUUCAAAGGAUUGGAAGGAUUCGCGUGUUAAAUUGUCAUCUUUGUCGCCUUCACCAGAGAAGUCUCCAGUUCGGCUGGAAUCUUCACCAAUUACAAGGACUAAGAAUUCUAGUGAGGAUAGAAGGUCAAUUAGUCCAUAUGAGAGCCCUGUGAGGCAAAGAAAAGGGAUAAGAAAUAGGUCUUCUAGUCCAUCCCGGAGUCCUGUGAGGCAAAGAAGGGGCCAUGUUACACAUGAUGACAGCUUAAGCCCUCCACAUAAGCCAAGACAGCAGAAAACUUAUCAAGAAAUUCCUCAGUAUAGAAAAGAGGAUGAAGAUACUGAUCAUGCUCG
This 382-nucleotide unclassified non-coding RNA is filed under the name Hevea brasiliensis (rubber tree). Lineage: Eukaryota; Viridiplantae; Streptophyta; Magnoliopsida; Malpighiales; Euphorbiaceae. The record is from RNAcentral.